AGGGAGAGAAGAGGGCAGACAGGGUCCAGGAGGAGAGGCCAGUGUCCCCGUCGGUGUCAGAGGGGGUGAAGACCAACCCCACCUCCCUGGCCGACAUGUGUCAGCAGCUGUAGCACAGGAUCCAGGAGCAUUCCGUGCUCCACUCCACCCCUGUGGAGGAUCAGCAAGCUCUGGCGGUGGUGAUGACGUCAGAGCUGGGCCUGAUCUGGCAGGACCUGAAGGGGCUGAUGGA
This is a long non-coding RNA of Coregonus clupeaformis (lake whitefish), 232 nucleotides long. RefSeq lists it as uncharacterized. The record is from RefSeq and is a predicted model, not a curated record. The transcript is spliced from 3 exons. Lineage: Eukaryota; Metazoa; Chordata; Actinopteri; Salmoniformes; Salmonidae.